AUGUAAUACAAGUACUAAAUUAGCCUAUCUUCAGUCAGCCUGAAAAGAGUGUGUUGGCUGGAUCUGACUCGAUCACAUCCAGGACCUUUAGGAGUGGUGGGACCUCCAUGGGUUCAGACUGUGCCAGGAGCAAGUCCAUUUCUAUAUUAGGAGGCUUCCUGCUCUCCUGAAUUCCAGCAGGGAAUAAGAGUAAGGGCUGGUUGUUGGCCUGCCCAGGAUGAGGCCCUGUGGCUGCAGCAAAACAAAUGGAAGAACUCAGGAAAAAAACUGGAGGCCUUAGAGUUGACCAUGAGAUUCAGGGUUUCUUACAAGAAUGGGAGUCUCUUAAAAGUGAAGAAAAGUUGAUGAAGAAUCACAUUGCAUCAAAAGUGCCAGCCCAAUGUCCCUAGCAUGGAUGCACAGAUAAGAGCUGGUGACAAGGUCUGCAGAUGUUCCUACAUAUGCAGGGUUUAGACUGGAUUAUUUGUGAGACCAACCAGAGUCCACGGAAGCAAUCUUUGUCCUGCCCUUCACAGUACUGUGGGACACAGAAGGGAGAACACUGUCUUCUCAGCACGUAUGGCAGCAGUGAUUGGAUCUGAAUCAGCAUCAGAGGAGCCCCAAAUUAAAGACAGUUAGAAACUAGAUUCCAAUUUUACUUUGAAAGACAAUGGAAUAGUGCAACACUAUACAUUCAUGACUCCUUCCUUUCCCAGACC
This 698-nucleotide long non-coding RNA is filed under the name Felis catus (domestic cat). RNAcentral's name for it is "lncRNA (ENSFCAG00000051560.1)". The record is from RNAcentral. Lineage: Eukaryota; Metazoa; Chordata; Mammalia; Carnivora; Felidae.